GUUGAAGGCUUGGAAAUGGAGAUAUAAGCUCUUUCUUCCUUCAGUCAUUAUAGGAAACACCAACUCUCAGCCCAACAGAAGCAAUGAGCUGGAGACAUUAGUGAAGACUAAGAAAGCAUACCGUGAGUGCAGUCUCCUGUUUUUCACUGGUUGAAUCAAAACUACUCAGACUCCAGUGUGGAUCUACCUGCCUUCACUCACUCUCAUAAGGUCAGACUGAGAUGCUACAGCUAGUGGCGAGAAGAAAGGAGGGAGUCUGGCUUUAUUUGUUAACUAAAAAUGAUGCAACUCUGUUGGCGGUUGCUCUUCGGCCAUAUUAUGUUCCAAGGGAGUUCAGUCAUAUCAUAACAAUGCUUGUACACAUCCCACCUAAGGCAACGGCUGAAGUUCCGUGUGAUGUUCUCCAUGAUACUGUUGCUAGGAUACAGUGAGGAAGGUAGUGGUCAUUCUAAAAACAUGCGAUGGACAGCUUCUCUCUCUUCACUGCAGGCGAGAGAGAUUGUGACAAUAUUUUGUACCCACAGCUAUCAGACUUCUCAAUCCUUCCAUAAAAACUAGAUGAGAUGAGAUUCCAGACAAACAAAUUUCCUUUUGGGGAUCAAUAAAAGUCUCGUAUUGUAUUUUCUGUUGACAGAGUUGGCUGUCUUGAAUAGACAGCAUUGCCUCUGAGUAGUUUUGAUUAAGAUUCAAACAUCUGAUCUAUUUUAUCCAGAAUUUGGUUAAACCAAACUUUCUCAUUUAAUUUGAAAUAAACUAACAAACAAACAAACAAAAAACACAGAAUACAAGCAGCUACUCUGAUGAAGCUGUAACAAGAAAGAUUGUGAAUGAAGUCAGAACAUUGAUGCUGAAUUCUCCCAUUGAAACAAAAUUUUGGAACCAAAAAGAAAACCAGCACAGAGAAAGGCGACACUGGCAUUGAAACACGUGUAUUCAAAGAGUUAUUAGUCAUUAAAAAAACACUUGAGAAUGAAACAAAUAUUAGUCAUUUUAUCUUCUCUUUGAGUGUUUUAAUAUUCUGUGAAACUAUUCCCCAUGCCAAAUCCCUCUUUGAGUGCCAGUACAACUUUUUCUUGUAUACAUGUUUCAAUGCCAGUGUUUGUUUUUCAAAUCAGCUCUUACUCUCGAUGCCAAAAUUUAGAGCCUCUAUCCUGGCUCCACACAAAACAGAUGAUAGAAAAUGUAUAAUGACUUUGCUUCUUGAGCUUCAGCGAAACCAAACAAAUUGAUCUUCAUUUCUUUUGGUUAGGAAUGAAGACAGCGUCUGUAGAAGUCAUCGUGUUUAAUGUAGAGAUGUAUGAAGAAAGCAAGAAGUGGAUAAUCAAGGCUGCAUCAACCAGUCUAGUGUAUCUACGCCUCUCUCAUUAGCAGACACGAAUAGAGCAUAUUGCUCAAAAAUAUGAUUUUAAAAUAUUAAUUUUCUUCUUGAUUAGAUUUGAAACUGAUGAGAAACCAUAAAGUAUAAUUAGGGUUUUAUGAUGUCAGCCGUUUGCAUUAGGUUUGCAGUGAAAUGGAAAAGAAGAAGUACAGAAGCAUGUCUGUCCUGUGAUCAUUUCAUUUCGUCCUCAAUAAUACAAGCCAAUUACACAGUACCGGGACAUUUACCCACACACUGCACUGUUUGUCAAAGCCUAUUUCCCAAAGACCAUCCCACUUUAAAAAGCUCGUCCUCCUUGCUUCCUUCUUUACCAUGCACGUUCAGCACCCGAGGAUACUAGCCUGUAAUCACAUUAGCGGAUCCUUUGUGACGGCUCUUUCACAACAUGCUAUGUGUUAAACUCCCAAAAAGAUCUUCUCUGCUCCAACAGCGUGCCCAAUCUGGAGAAUGCACUUUUUUGUAAGCGUGAAUCAUUUGUCCUUUUUGUUUGCAUGCGUCUGCACAAACGGGAGUGAAUAAAUGGUAAUGAGACAUCAUUAUCACCAAUCCUGCUUUGAUUUCGCGGCUUCAAUCCUGGGUGAGAGUGUCCCAUCAUCUUCAGCAGACAUAGGAGUGCUGAUGUCGUGGAUAAAAACAGCUCCGUGCACGCCGGGACGUAACCCAAACCUUUGCAAAUGUCAUCUUUCCCCGUGACUAAGUUUACUGCUUCUAUUUGUGUCACAACAAACCACCUCUGGGUGUGGAUGAUUGACAAGCUGUGAGUGAUAAUUUGACACAUUCUGCCAUUAUUCCUUUCUGCCGACUCACUCUUUUAUUUUUAAGCACGCUGCAGCAUUGUCAACCUGAACCUUUAUGACACCUGACAGCGACACAUGAGAGACGUUGGCGUUCUUUUAUUCAAGUGUAAAGGUUUAAACUUUCACUUUAGGUCUCUUGCACAUUGGGGACCAAAACAGCAGGUUUAUCUUUCCCCUUAGGUCAAUAUAUCUUCAAUUCCUUUUGUUUUUCUUCACAUUACCAUUACUCUUAGAGGCGGCUGCCACUUGUGCUUUAUUCCAAACAGCACACGUGGGCCAAAGAUGAUGCCCUGCUUCUGAUGCAUGCUCCAAACCGUUCAGAAAUGCAUAAACAACAAGCCUCUCAAAAGUGCCUUGCAUCGACCGCAGCCGCCAUCCCUGCAGUCAGCUCUGCGCGGGGCUGUUUAGCAACUCGCACCAUUGAUCGCUUCAAGUGAGUACCCACCACAAUCGGCAUCCUAUGACACCAGGGGGAAGCGGGGGAGUGCACAAGGUGCAAUUAGCUGCUCCCAGGAGCACAGAGGGAGUGACAGACAAUCAACAUGGAGAGAGAAAGUGAGGAGGAGGAGGAAGAGGGGGAGAUGAAGAGGAGGUGUGUACAAGAAAAAGGAAGGGUGAGGGGAAAAGAUGGUCAUUACCCAAAUGGGUCGUUAUGCCCCAUCUAUCCAUCCCAUGCUGCCAUAGCCCCUCGCCCACGCCACAGGAGUUUUAAUUGGUCCGGUACACAGUGUUUGCUCAAGCACUCUGCAAGUUUGGAGAAGCACUCUGUAGGGGAAUGCGGUAGGCUCACUCAUGCUGGAAAUAUAUAAGCGGGAAAGGUGUGGGUAGAAGAGUGAGGUGUAUGUAUGUGUGUGCUUGCGUACAUGCGUCCGUGCUCUAAAAUCUCAUAUCAACGUUCAGAAUUUUAUGUCCGGCUACGUGGAUAAUGAGCAGCUAGAGUUUUGGUGAUUUCCUGUGUGGGAUGCCCAAAGAGGAAUCAGCAAUCUGCAGGACUCAUUAUAUUGCUGCUGUCACUGCAUUAAAAGUACUGGCCACUAAACCUACACUCACAGCUACAGUGAAGCUCCCAUUAUUAGGGCUGCACCGUACACUGUUAAACAUCCCAGCUGUGAUGUGCGCAUGGGCAGGACUUGGAUUCAGAAAACACGUUAUUUUCUAAUUUUUCAUGACUUUUCUUCAAGAAGAUGAAACAUUUUCACAAUCCCCAGCCUUCUUUCUUUGUGUAUCUGCUGAUACGAAGUCCCCGAGUCUUUGCAGAGAUAAGUGUUUUCCACAAAAUGAUGGUGAACUUGUCAUGGUCGGAUGGUGGAGUGCUUUUUAGCUAUUAUCUUAAGUACUCUCAGUUUUGAAAGUCUGGACCUGCUUGGUAAUACUAGUCUUUGAUGAAAAUGGUACUGAUAGGAUGAUAGGCAGCUCAUAAUCCCUGGUCGAUUAAAAAAUACCCAUAUCGGCUCUGAGGGAGUUGAAAUUAGGUUUGGGACUUCCUUACAAAUUUCGAACUACAUUUAGUUUUUUUUUUGUAUUCAAACAACAACAUCCAACAAUUUAAACACAUGGCAGUAAUUAAAAUAAUGAUGAAAAUAUUAAUAAUAGAGGUAAAUAAAUAAAUUGUCAGUUUUCGCUAAAAUUUUCGUUAAAAUAAUAAAUAAAAUAAAUAAUUAAAAAUGUAAAAUGAACCAAGAAAUUAAUCAACAAAUUACUGAGCAAUAAAUAAUAAUAAAUAGAUAAAUUAAAAAAAAAUCUUAAAUAAGAAUAUAGCUUACAUAGUACACUACCAACAACAAAUUAAAUAUUUUUACAUUUAGUUUUUUUUUUUUUUCACUUGAGUUUGGUGCAUCUUCAGGAAGGGAAAUCUCAAUUAAAAUAGCACUUAAAAACUUUGUAUCCAAAAUUAAUUAAUCAGAUUUCAAUGUUUACUUCAAAGUUUCCACAUUCCUAAUAACACUAAAAUCUUUUUGUCAAUCUGGGAGUUGAGCUCACCCCUUUUACACAAAGGUCCAUUUUCUUUAGUAUCACAGCCCUUCCUGUUUCUCUUUUACAUGGGACGACAGUAUCUCAGGAGGUAGAGCGGUCGUCCAAUAAGCCGUAGGUUGGUGGUUCGAUUCGCCCCUAUACCUAGUCUGUCUGUUGUGUCCUUGGGCAAGACACUUAACCCACCUUUCUCCCAGUUUGUGUCCUCCACUGGUGUAUGAUUAUGAGUGUUGUGUGGUGGUGGUGGUCGGAGAGGCGGUAGGCGCAGAUCGGCAGCCAGAGGGCAGCUGUGACUAAUAAGGUAGUUUACCACCACCAAGUUGUGACUGUGUGAGCGAAUGAAUGAUGUAUCCAAUGUAAAACACUUUGAGGGUCUCUGAUAAAGCACUAUAUGAAAUCUGUUGCAUUAUUAUUAUUAUUACAUGUAGUGUACAGCACAGGCUAAAAAAACAAAUGCAUGACUGUAUUAAAUAUGUCUUAUCCCCUGUGUUCAUUGAUGUUGUGAAGCCAUUACACAGUAUCUGUGUAACAGAUGUCUUUGGUCUCUUGGAGGAUUUGAUGAUGCACUUUAAACAUUACUGAACUAAGAGCAUGCUGACCAUACUGCACUUAUGUUUUUUGUUGUUUUUGUUUUUUAAGACUCUUAACUGCUGGAUUAAACUAAAACCUCUCGAUCGCCUCCUGGGAGAGUGGCUAUUAUUUAAGGGGGCCCUUGAUCUGCAGUAGAGUUUUCUGUGCGUGUAGCAAACGUUUCAAACUCCAAUAUUGUUGAUUCGUUUAAUCUUGAGAAGGCCAAAAGCACGAUUGCAGUUACAGUUUGAUUAAUCGUGCAGCCUCGGGCCUGCUGUUCAUUGUAGAGCCCCAUUUGACUGCAGAGUUUCUGAUUCAAAGAGAAAUGCGGUUUCUACUUCGAAUACUUUGGUACUGAGAACUAACUGCGCCCCUCAUAAAUCCCUUCUUAAUUAGAUACUCCCUGCAUCCCUACACUGAGCAGAAUCUGUAUUUUUAAGGAUACAUUUAAAAUGUUUCUGUCCGUGCAGACGUUUGGUUAAUUGUCCCUCUUCAUUUGAUGCUGUAUAACUGAUUAAUUCUGGUAUCUGAGGACUGUAUAUCUCAUAUUCUUGAACACUUUUAAUGUGGUGCAUUUGUAUUAUUAAUUCCCUUUACUGUAUGUAUUAUCUUUGCAAAGCGCUUUAUGACUUUUGUGUAUGAAAAACCCUUUCUACAUAAACUGACGUAGUUAACUUCGAUCCCUUUGUGAGCACAGAGUCAUCUUGAAGGUGAAUACUUUUUAAUGCCCCCGGCUGCAGGUAGAAGUGAAAGUUCUGGUCGGCAGUACUGUGGUGGGAAGACAGAGUGAAGUCUCGUCUCUUUCAGUCUGAUGAAUGCUCUCCAUGGGAUUAUCUCACUGGGCAAAAAUGGAGAGUCCUUGCCUACAGGGUCAAGUCUUUGCUUUGCUGACACUAUUAUGACUGCAGUAUAUGUUUUGCGCAGACUCUCUGAUUGUCAAAGUGUUUUCUUUUGCCUCAGAAAUUGUAUUAACCUCAGCAAGGUUGCAGACUCUUUCAAACUACCCACUGCCACUUCAAAAUCUGACAGAGGGAAGGGCCACCCAGUGUAUUCAGAGUAUUGUUCAGGUAGACUGGUAUGAAAGCAUGCAAAGCCUUUUCAGAUUCAUGUAAGUCUUAAGAUAAAGUAUGCAUUCAGUGGGUUUUGAAGUGUGAAAAUGUCCACUUUGAAGGAAACGGAAGGAGCAAAUAGUUUCUCUUUGUACUUCACCUUGAUAUAAAAGAGACACUUCUGCAUGUAUGCAUUCAUGCUAGUCCUUCAGUAUUCUUAGACACACUUUAAUCCGAUGCUUUGGACCUCGGGGGGCAAAUUUGGUGCAUUUUUAUGAAUUCUGAAGCUGUCACCAAAAACUUUGUUUUGGUUUGUAACUUUAAAAAUUUCAGUCUCAGAGAGCAAUACCAACAAUCUCUGGAUCGAGCUUCCACCAUAUCAGAUUUUGUCCAUGGUUGUUUGGUGAUGGAUACUCCCAUACCAGAGUUGAGUAAAUUGGGUACAAAAAGUCUCUGGGCAGAGCUGGAAUGGGUUUCUUAUACUGCUGUAUCGAAUAGGGAUAGGUACAAUUUAGGUAAACAAUAAAUAACAAAAUGUAUAUAUUUUAUUUAAUGGAAUAGAAUUUAGCACACUGGCAGGUAAGGGACAAGGACUGAUUUAGAAACUUUCACCGAUUGUAGGAUUUUAAAUUAGACCUUAAUUACAAAUUCUACUUGAAAACCAACUGUUUAACCUUUCUAACUUUUUUUGGGGGCAAAGCCCUGGCUUAAAAAAUUGUUUAGGGCAAUCACGGACGCAAUUUGUGGAACACACAUGCACACACUCUUUCAAAAGCCUGUUUUGGUCCCCUGCGGUUUUAACCAUCUAAAAACAUUGUUACUUUACACUAUAGCAAUCC
Non-coding RNA from Xyrichtys novacula (pearly razorfish), 6604 nucleotides. The record is from the annotation of a GenBank genome assembly. Lineage: Eukaryota; Metazoa; Chordata; Actinopteri; Labriformes; Labridae.